RNAcentral lists this ribosomal RNA (292 nucleotides) under uncultured bacterium. RNAcentral's name for it is "partial 16S ribosomal RNA". It matches the Rfam family "Bacterial small subunit ribosomal RNA", at positions 505 to 796 of the family's 1533-position model. The record is from RNAcentral.
GUGUCAGCAGCCGCGGUAAUACAGAGGGUGCAAACGUUGCUCGGAAUUAUUGGGCGUAAAGCGCGUGUAGGCGGUUUGUUAAGUCGGUUGUGAAAGCCCAGGGCUCAACCCUGGAAGUGCGUCCGAUACUGGCAGACUAGAGUUCCGAAGAGGAUGGCGGAAUUCCCAGUGUAGAGGUGAAAUUCGUAGAUAUUGGGAGGAACACCGGUGGCGAAGGCGGCCAUCUGGGAGGAUACUGACGCUGAGACGCGAAAGCGUGGGGAUCAAACAGGAUUAGAUACCCUGGUAGUCC